CCUANGGGCGGCAGCAGUGGGGAAUCUUGCGCAAUGGGCGAAAGCCUGACGCAGCGACGCCGCGUGAGGGAAGAAGGCCUUCGGGUUGUAAACCUCUUUCAGGAGGGACGAAGCUACUCGGGUUAAUAGCCCAGAGGGUGACGGUACCUCCAGAAGAAGCCCCGGCUAACUACGUGCCAGCAGCCGCGGUAAUACGUAGGGGGCAAGCGUUGUCCGGAUUUACUGGGCGUAAAGAGCGUGUAGGCGGCCAAGCAGGUCUGUUGUGAAAACUGGAGGCUCAACCUCCAGACGUCGACAGAAACCGCGUGGCUAGAGUCCGGAAGAGGAGAGUGGAAUUCCUGGUGUAGCGGUGAAAUGCGCAGAUAUCAGGAAGAACACCAAUGGCGAAGGCAGCUCUCUGGGACGGUACUGACGCUGAGACGCGAAAGCGUGGGGAGCGAACAGGAUUAGAUACCCCANUANUC
RNAcentral lists this ribosomal RNA (464 nucleotides) under uncultured bacterium. Its description in RNAcentral is "bacterial SSU rRNA". It matches the Rfam family "Bacterial small subunit ribosomal RNA", at positions 338 to 795 of the family's 1533-position model. The record is from RNAcentral.